Molecule: ribosomal RNA, 271 nt
Filed under: uncultured bacterium
Lineage: Bacteria
Description: partial 16S ribosomal RNA
Rfam family: Archaeal small subunit ribosomal RNA
Source: RNAcentral
AACCAGCACCUCAAGUGGUCAGGAUGAUUAUUGGGCCUAAAGCAUCCGUAGCCUGCUUUGUAAGUUCUCGGUUAAAUCCAUACGCUUAACGUAUGGGCUGCCGGCAAUACUGCAUAGCUAGGGAGUGGGAGAGGUAGACGGUACUCGGUAGGAAGGGGUAAAAUCCUUUGAUCUAUUGAUGACCACCUGUGGCGAAGGCGGUCUACCAGAACACAUCCGACGGUGAGGGAUGAAAGCUGGGGGAGCAAACCGGAUUAGAAACCCCAGUAGU